AACAAACGCUGGCGGCGUGCCUAAUACAUGCAAGUCGAACGGGGAAAGUAGCAAUACGAGUACUAGUGGCGCACGGGUGAGGAAUACAUGGGUAAUCUGCCCUCGAGUUUGGGAUAACCAGUCGAAAGAUUGGCUAAUACCGGAUAUGACCACAGGAUCUGCGGAUCUAGGGGUAAAAGGUUUUUCGCUCGAGGAUGAGCCCAAGUGGGAUUAGCUAGUUGGUGAGGUAACGGCUCACCAAGGCGACGAUCCGUAACUGGUCUUAGAGGAUGAUCAGUCAUACUGGAACUGAGACACGGUCCAGACUCCUACGGGAGGGAGCAGUAGGGAAUAUUGCACAAUGGAGGAAACUCUGAUGCGGCGACGCCGCGUGAGUGAUGAAGGCCUUCGGGUCGUAAAGCUCUGUCGUAUGGGACUAACACAAUGAAGGUACCAUGCAAGAAAGGAUCGGCUAACUUCGUGCCAGCCGCCGCGGUAA
RNAcentral lists this ribosomal RNA (478 nucleotides) under uncultured bacterium. Its description in RNAcentral is "partial 16S ribosomal RNA". It matches the Rfam family "Bacterial small subunit ribosomal RNA", at positions 29 to 523 of the family's 1533-position model. The record is from RNAcentral.